GAGUUUGAUCAUGGCUCAGAGUGAACGCUGGCGGCAGGCCUAACACAUGCAAGUCGAGCGCCCCGCAAGGGGAGCGGCAGACGGGAGAGUAACACGUGGGAACGUGCCCUUCAGUUCGGAACAACCCAGGGAAACUUGGGCUAAUACCGGAUACGUCCGUAAGGAGAAAGAUUUAUCGCUGAAGGAUCGGCCCGCGUCUGAUUAGCUAGUUGGUGGGGUAAGGGCCCACCAAGGCGACGAUCAGUAGCUGGUCUGAGAGGAUGAUCAGCCUCACUGGGACUGAGACACGGCCCAGACUCCUACGGGAGGCAGCAGGUGGGGAAUAUUGGACAAUGGGCGCAAGCCUGAUCCAGCCGUGCCGCGUGGAUGAUGAA
This 374-nucleotide ribosomal RNA is filed under the name uncultured Alphaproteobacteria bacterium. Its description in RNAcentral is "bacterial SSU rRNA". It matches the Rfam family "Bacterial small subunit ribosomal RNA", at positions 9 to 412 of the family's 1533-position model. The record is from RNAcentral. Lineage: Bacteria; Pseudomonadati; Pseudomonadota; Alphaproteobacteria.